UAGCAAUACGUCAGUGGCAGACGGGUGAGUAACACGUGGGAACGUACCUUUUGGUUCGGAACAACUGAGGGAAACUUCAGCUAAUACCGGAUAAGCCCUUACGGGGAAAGAUUUAUCGCCGAAAGAUCGGCCCGCGUCUGAUUAGCUAGUUGGUGAGGUAAUGGCUCACCAAGGCGACGAUCAGUAGCUGGUCUGAGAGGAUGAUCAGCCACAUUGGGACUGAGACACGGCCCAAACUCCUACGGGAGGCAGCAGUGGGGAAUAUUGGACAAUGGGCGCAAGCCUGAUCCAGCCAUGCCGCGUGAGUGAUGAAGGCCCUAGGGUUGUAAAGCUCUUUUGUGCGGGAAGAUAAUGACGGUACCGCAAGAAUAAGCCCCGGCUAACUUCGUGCCAGCAGCCGCGGUAAUACGAAGGGGGCUAGCGUUGCUCGGAAUCACUGGGCGUAAAGGGUGCGUAGGCGGGUUUCUAAGUCAGAGGUGAAAGCCUGGAGCUCAACUCCAGAACUGCCUUUGAUACUGGAAGUCUUGAGUAUGGGAGAGGUGAGUGGAACUGCGAGUGUAGAGGUGAAAUUCGUAGAUAUUCGCAAGAACACCAGUGGCGAAGGCGGCUCACUGGCCCAUAACUGACGCUGAGGCACGA
Molecule: ribosomal RNA, 639 nt
Filed under: uncultured Alphaproteobacteria bacterium
Lineage: Bacteria; Pseudomonadati; Pseudomonadota; Alphaproteobacteria
Description: bacterial SSU rRNA
Rfam family: Bacterial small subunit ribosomal RNA
Source: RNAcentral